Molecule: ribosomal RNA, 446 nt
Filed under: uncultured bacterium
Lineage: Bacteria
Description: bacterial SSU rRNA
Rfam family: Bacterial small subunit ribosomal RNA
Source: RNAcentral
CAUGCAAGUCGAGCGGGGGUUUUCGGACCUAGCGGCGGACGGGUGAGUAAUGCGUAGGAAGCUACCCGACAGAGGGGGAUACCAGUUGGAAACGACUGUUAAUACCGCAUAAAUGUCUACGGACCAAAGUNUGGGACCUUGGGCCACAUGCUGUCGGAUGCGCCUACGUGGGAUUAGCUAGUUGGUGAGGUAAUGGCUCACCAAGGCGACGAUCCCUAGCUGGUUUGAGAGGAUGAUCAGCCACACUGGAACUGAGACACGGUCCAGACUCCUACGGGAGGCAGCAGUGGGGAAUAUUGGACAAUGGGCGCAAGCCUGAUCCAGCCAUGCCGCGUGUGUGAAGAAGGCCUCGGGUUGUAAAGCACUUUCAGCGAGGAGGAAGAGUUGUGUGUUAAUAGUACACAGCUUUGACGUUACUCGCAGAAGAAGCACCGGCUAACUCUGUG